UUAAGGAACAUUAGGUUGCUGCUAUGUAUUUUUCCUGGCCACAUUUUGGCUUGUCUUCCUUGUCAUUUCAGUUUUAACAGACAAACAUAUCAGUCAGGUAGUAGGUGUUUCUACAAGAAGCAAAUUCAGCAUUUCAGAAGUUUGAGAUGUAUGAGGGGGGGUUGAUAAAGAAAUUAUUCAGGAACUAUAAGCUGUCUGGAGUGUCCAAACAAUUCUCAAAAAACUCAGAAAGUCCUAUUAUGGAAGCCUUGCCCAUCAACCGGUAAAUACUCCAAAGUGUUUUUUAAAAUUCUUGACUCUGGAGUGCUCAUAUUUUGGAUCUCUAUCAACUGGUAAAACUUUGGAGGUCUAGGUUUCAACAUUAGCCUAUUUGGCAGGUGUUGUAUGCGCGAAGUAUCAGCUAAUCAACCUAGAAUCAACAAGUGGUCUAAUGGCUUGCUUUACUGCAUAUUUUAGCAGAAAGACACCACCUCCAACAAAGUACGGCAUAACAUUGGAGGAAGAGGUCUCAAACAUUCAGAACAUCAUAUUGUACUCUUAUAAAGAGCUGCGAAGUGCCUGUGAUAAUUUCGUGCAGUUAAUAAGAUUGGGAUGGGAGGUUUCCGUUCUGUUUACAAGAUAAGAGAACUUCACAAAUUCUCUUAUGAAUUUAUGUAUUGUUUGAAGAAUGUGAAUUAUUUCUAGCAUAUGAUUUCACUGUUUUCAUAUUCAGGGGAAGCUGAAGGUGGCACCAUGGUGGCAGUAAAAGUGCUUUCUGAGGGAUCAACUCAGGGCAUCCAGGAGUUCUUGACAGAGAUAACAAUGAUCUCUUCUAUACAACAUGAUAAUCUAGUUAACUCUCGCGCUGCUAGGUAACUCUACUAGUUCAGCUGGAAUGUAAGGAAGGAAAUUUGCAUUGAUCUAAUAUACUACUAGAACACACAAUGAGCAAAUAGUGCUGGGGGAAGACUGUAUUCAUCAUAAAAUUAUUUCAGAACUUCGCGGAGCUUUCUGUGCUGCGGUAAAGGAAUGUGAUAUUACGCACAAACUGCAGCUUUACUAUUAAAUUCAGGUGGUUAAUGUGUUGGCAACUUUCAGGUUAAUCACUAUGUUCUUUAUAUUAUUCUAGGUCUCGGAAUAUCAGUUGUAUAGGUAAUAUCUAUAUCAGUACAAAAAGAUUCAUUAGGAGAGUUCUCUUAAGUAUAAGAAUGUAAGAUUUAUAUAAACUACACUAUGAUUAAAAGGCCAAUACAUGUUGCAGCAA
Molecule: long non-coding RNA, 1243 nt
Organism: Daucus carota subsp. sativus
Lineage: Eukaryota; Viridiplantae; Streptophyta; Magnoliopsida; Apiales; Apiaceae
Exons: 5
Source: RefSeq, a predicted model, not a curated record